AUUAGCUAGUUGGUGAGGUAACGGCUCACCAAGGCCACGAUGCGUAGCCGACCUGAGAGGGUGAUCGGCCACAUUGGAACUGAGACACGGUCCAGACUCCUACGGGAGGCAGCAGUGGGGAAUAUUGCACAAUGGGCGAAAGCCUGAUGCAGCAACGCCGCGUGAGUGAUGACGGCCUUCGGGUUGUAAAGCUCUGUCUUUUGGGACGAUAAUGACGGUACCAAAGGAGGAAGCCACGGCUAACUACGUGCCAGCAGCCGCGGUAAUACGUAGGUGGCAAGCGUUGUCCGGAUUUACUGGGCGUAAAGGAUGCGUAGGUGGAUAUUUAAGUGAGAUGUGAAAUACCCGAGCUUAACUUGGGAACUGCAUUUCAAACUGGGUAUCUAGAGUGCAGGAGAGGUAAGUGGAAUUCCUAGUGUAGCGGUGAAAUGCGUAGAGAUUAGGAAGAACACCAGUGGCGAAGGCGACUUACUGGACUGUAACUGACACUGAGGCAUGAAAGCGUGGGGAGCAAACAGGAUUAGAUACCCUGGUAGUCCACGCCGU
Molecule: ribosomal RNA, 546 nt
Filed under: uncultured bacterium
Lineage: Bacteria
Description: bacterial SSU rRNA
Rfam family: Bacterial small subunit ribosomal RNA
Source: RNAcentral